GUAACAAGGUCUCCGUUGGUGAACCAGCGGAGGGAUCAUUACUGAGUUACGCUCUAUAACCCUUUGUGAACAUACCUAUAACUGUUGCUUCGGCGGGUAGGGUCUCCGCGACCCUCCCGGCCUCCCGCCUCCGGGCGGGUCGGCGCCCGCCGGAGGAUAACCAAACUCUGAUUUAACGACGUUUCUUCUGAGUGGUACAAGCAGAUAAUCAAAACUUUUAACAACGGAUCUCUUGGUUCUGGCAUCGAUGAAGAACGCAGCGAAAUGCGAUAAGUAAUGUGAAUUGCAGAAUUCAGUGAAUCAUCGAAUCUUUGAACGCACAUUGCGCCCGCCAGCAUUCUGGCGGGCAUGCCUGUUCGAGCGUCAUUUCAACCCUCAAGCUCUGCUUGGUGUUGGGGCCCUACAGCUGAUGUAGGCCCUCAAAGGUAGUGGCGGACCCUCCCGGAGCCUCCUUUGCGUAGUAACUUUACGUCUCGCACUGGGAUCCGGAGGGACUCUUGCCGUAAAACCCCCCAAUUUUCCAAAGGUUGACCUCGGAUCAGGUAGGAAUACCCGCUGAACUUAAGCAUAUCAAUAAGCGGAGGA
RNAcentral lists this ribosomal RNA (585 nucleotides) under Colletotrichum gloeosporioides. RNAcentral describes it as "eukaryotic LSU rRNA". The stretch from base 213 to 366 matches the Rfam family "5.8S ribosomal RNA". The record is from RNAcentral. Lineage: Eukaryota; Fungi; Ascomycota; Sordariomycetes; Glomerellales; Glomerellaceae.